CCUGGCGACCAUAGCGAGCGGGAACCACCCGAUCCGAUGCCGAACUCGGCAGUGAAACCGCUCAGCGCCGAUGGUAGUGCGACCACGCUGUCGUGCGAGAGUAGGUCAUCGCCAGGC
Molecule: ribosomal RNA, 117 nt
Filed under: Halorhodospira halophila
Lineage: Bacteria; Pseudomonadati; Pseudomonadota; Gammaproteobacteria; Chromatiales; Ectothiorhodospiraceae
Source: RNAcentral